CAGUAGCCACGGUAAUACGGAGGGUGCAAGCGUUACUCGGAAUCACUGGGCGUAAAGGACGCGUAGGCGGAUUAUCAAGUCUCUUGUGAAAUCUAACGGCUUAACCGUUAAACUGCUUGGGAAACUGAUAAUCUAGAGUAAGGGAGAGGCAGAUGGAAUUCUUGGUGUAGGGGUAAAAUCCGUAGAUAUCAAGAAGAAUACCUAUUGCGAAGGCGAUCUGCUGGAACUUAACUGACGCUAAUGCGUGAAAGCGUGGGGAGCAAACAGGAUUAGAUACCCGCGUAGUCCCUGUCUCUUAUAA
This 301-nucleotide ribosomal RNA is filed under the name uncultured bacterium. Its description in RNAcentral is "partial 16S ribosomal RNA". It matches the Rfam family "Bacterial small subunit ribosomal RNA", at positions 509 to 809 of the family's 1533-position model. The record is from RNAcentral.